UAACAUUUUAUUUUUAUUGACUGCAUUUUAAAAUCAUGGUAUAAAUCAACGUUUGUAUAUUUGAGUGCGUAGAUAUUAGCCAUAGUAAUAUGAUUUAAAACAAAUUUAGCUUUUAGAAUGCGUAAUCGUCCUAGGUGAAAUUAGUAAUGUCUCACAGCAUAUUGCAUCAGGUAGAAUACGUAGUUUAAAUCGAAUCUACUAUCUGGCGUCGUCUUCAUUUAGACAAAAUCUCAGGGCGCAAUGAAACCUGCUGUCUGCUAGUUACUACUUCAAAGCGCAUAGCAACUUCUAUAUAAAAUAAAUGAAACGGAUGAGGAAACGUUCACUGUAGUUGCGUCAGCAGCGGUUGGGCCAUGACUGGCAAUAAAUUAUCUUGCCUGGGAACGUAUAAAUGCGGGACGGUCGGCUUUACUCACCGCAUAGACUCACCUACACUGCACAGCUAUACUCACCAAGAGGUAGAUUGGACGCAGUCGCUUUCCUUAGGACAAUACGAACAGAUUUCGUCGAUUUGCAAACGACACAAUCAUCAUUAUAGCAGAUAGAAACGUACAACCAGGUAACAGAAUCCAGAAUGUUUACUCCGAAGUUCUGUGGCCAAACUUCCUCCUCCCCUGAGGCUUCCGGUCCUCGUUGGCAUCACGGUGCACCAGGAGGAGGGCCUCACCACCGCUACCCCCCAUGUGGGCCCCAUCACAUACCCCAUGGUCACUGGAAUGCACCCCAUCUUCACAUGGGUCCUCACAAUGGGCCAAGGAGACAUCAUUGUCCUAAGGGACAUCAAGGACUUAUGGGAUACUACGGGACAAUGGGACAUCAUGGACCAAUGGGACAUCACCGUCACCAUCCUGAAUGGAAACACUUUGGGGGAUUCCACCCUAGAGCCUGGGGUCCACACCGUCGUUGCCAAGAUCAGCCACCUCAGAGCAACAACGUUCAGCCACCUCAGUAGGCAGUGUGAUCAGUCAUCUGCUAAUUAUUGAAAUUUCCUAAAAGGGACCUCAAUUUCAACUAUCAACAUAACCGAUAGACGAGCGAAUUUCUUGAAAUAAAAGCAGAUGACAAAAUAAUAGAUAGGAACUUUAAUUUUUCACGUAUUUUGAUGGCUAAUGUGGCUUUCUUUGGUGCUUCAUGUGCAGCAUAAUUUGCAUUUAUUCAUUGGUGUAAAUAUUUUCGUCACUUCAUUACCCUUUUAUUUAAGUGUAGUUGUAGUUGGAAAGUUUGCUUGCUCAAAUACCCAGGUAAUUAAAGCUUUCAACUUUCCCAUUUAAUAAAUAACUGUCUACAAGUG
Long non-coding RNA from Macrobrachium nipponense, 1291 nucleotides. RefSeq lists it as uncharacterized. The transcript is spliced from 2 exons. NCBI's taxonomy places the organism in Eukaryota, Metazoa, Arthropoda, Malacostraca, Decapoda, Palaemonidae. The record is from RefSeq and is a predicted model, not a curated record.